This 614-nucleotide ribosomal RNA is filed under the name uncultured Chroococcales cyanobacterium. Its description in RNAcentral is "bacterial SSU rRNA". It matches the Rfam family "Bacterial small subunit ribosomal RNA", at positions 122 to 769 of the family's 1533-position model. The record is from RNAcentral. Lineage: Bacteria; Bacillati; Cyanobacteriota; Cyanophyceae; Chroococcales.
GAAUCUGCCUUGAGGAUGGGGACAACAGUUGGAAACGACUGCUAAACCCCGAUGUGCCCGAAGGUGAAAAAUUUAUUGCCUCAAGAGGAGCUCGCGUCUGAUUAGCUAGUUGGUGGGGUAAAAGCCUACCAAGGCAACGAUCAGUAGCUGGUCUGAGAGGAUGAGCAGCCACACUGGGACUGAGACACGGCCCAGACUCCUACGGGAGGCAGCAGUGGGGAAUUUUCCGCAAUGGGCGAAAGCCUGACGGAGCAAGACCGCGUGAGGGAGGAAGGCUCUUGGGUUGUAAACCUCUUUUCUCAAGGAAGAAGCUCUGACGGUACUUGAGGAAUCAGCAUCGGCUAACUCCGUGCCAGCAGCCGCGGUAAUACGGAGGAUGCAAGCGUUAUCCGGAAUCAUUGGGCGUAAAGCGUCCGCAGGUGGCUUUUCAAGUCUGCUGUCAAAGACUGGAGCUUAACUCCGGAAAGGCAGUGGAAACUGAGAAGCUAGAGGCCGGUAGGGGUAGAGGGAAUUCCCAGUGUAGCGGUGAAAUGCGUAGAGAUUGGGAAGAACACCAGUGGCGAAAGCGCUCUACUGGACCGGAACUGACACUCAGGGACGAAAGCUAGGGGAGC